This is an RNA transcript of Prionailurus viverrinus (fishing cat), 2510 nucleotides long. It is a transcript of the gene named dynein cytoplasmic 2 light intermediate chain 1, with no coding region annotated. The record is from RefSeq and is a predicted model, not a curated record. NCBI's taxonomy places the organism in Eukaryota, Metazoa, Chordata, Mammalia, Carnivora, Felidae. The transcript is spliced from 15 exons.
CCCCAGAAUCCGCACAGUCCCGCCCGCCUGGGAGAUCACUGGCCUCCUUAUUUUAGGCGGGUCCCAACGCCGAGUUUACGACACCGGGGUGGUCGACCCAGGAUGCCCAGUGAAACUCUCUGGGAAAUUGCAAAAGCAGAAGUGGAAAAACGGGGAAGCAGUGGAGGUGAAGGUGAUGGAGUUGAAAUUGGAGAAAAAUCUGUUUUCUUCAUUGGCAGUAAAAAUGGGGGAAAGACUACUAUUAUCCUAAGGUGUCUUGACAGGGAUGAGCCACCAAAACCAACCUUAGCUUUGGAAUAUACAUAUGGAAGAAGAACAAAAGGGCAUAAUAUACCAAAAGAUAUUGCUCACUUUUGGGAACUAGGUGGAGGGACCUCUUUAUUGGACUUAAUCAGCAUACCCAUCACAAGUGACACCUUACGGACAUUUUCUAUUGUUCUUGUUCUGGAUCUUUCAAAACCUAAUGACCUUUGGCCCACCAUGGAAAAUCUGUUGCAAGCCAUGAAAAGCCAUGUCGAUAAAAUGAUAAUGAAACUGGGGAAGACAAAUUCCAAAGCAGCCUCUGAGAUGAGACAGAGGAUAUGGAGUAAUAUGCAGAAGGACCAUCCGGAUCGUGAAUUAGUCGACCCAUUUCUGAUACCUCUGGUCAUAAUUGGAAGUAAAUAUGAUAUUUUUCAGGAUUUUGACUCUGAGAAGAGAAAGGUUAUAUGCAAGACACUUCGAUUUGUUGCACAUUAUUAUGGAGCAUCAUUAAUGUUUACCAGUAAAUCAGAAGCUCUAUUACUAAAAAUACGUGGAGUUAUCAACCAGUUAGCAUUUGGCAUUGACAGAAGCAAAUCAAUAUGUGUGGAUCAAAAUAAACCACUGUUUAUCACAGCAGGAUUGGAUUCUUUAAGUCAAAUAGGAUCUCCUCCUGUUCCUGAUAAUGACAUUGGAAAGCUUCAUGCCCAUUCACCAAUGGAAUUGUGGAAAAAAGUGUAUGAAAGGGUCUUUCCACCAAAGAGUAUCAACACACUAAAAGAUACCAAGGACCCCGCAAGAGACCCUCAGUAUGCUGAAAGAGAAGUUGACGAAAUGAGAAUGCAGAAGGAUCAGGAACUGGAACAAUACAAAAGAAGUUCCUCCAAGUCUUGGAAACAAAUUGAGCUUGAUUCUUGAACAUAAUUCAACUAUAGUGUAUUUAUUUAUUCUUUCCCAAAUACAAGAUAACAAGAACUGGGAUAAAGGCAUACAAAAUCAGAAAGUUUGUCGUGAAUCUGGAUGUUGCACCUGGGCAGGUUCUCUCAAUGAAUUGAAUUCCUUGAGUGAAGGCACACAUUGGAUUAGUUGUCACAGAACCAUUUGAGCUGCCUGCCAGGAAGAUUGACAGUGUCAGAUAUGAUGCUUCCCAGAACCUUCUCAUGGGCAGUUUUUCAAAGACUGUAUGGUCUUCAAGAUCAGUGCUUCACAAAUUUUAAAGUGCACAUGAACCACCAGGAGGAUCCUGUUAAAUGCAGAAUCCAAUUCCGUAGCUGGGCCUGAGAUUCUACAUGUUAAACAAGUUCAAAAGCAAGGCUGACACUGGUCUGUGGGCUACACUGAGUAGCAAGAGUCUAAAUUACCGAGGUCUUCAAUUUUCAGCCAACCCUGAUUUACUCAAAAAUGAUCAGGUUGUAAAUGAUCUGUUCCUGGAUCAUUCAGCCUGAACUAGACAGGCUCAUGGUUUGUUUACAUCAUGGAUUAGAGUCAACAUGUUCCUGAGUGUCAGAGAAUGAGGCUUCAUCAGGUCCAGCAGGGAGGCCCCAUGGUCCCUGCCAUCGCCCUCAGCGGGGAGCCCAAUCUGCUAACUCGGAGCAAGUGGCUUUGCCUCUAUCACUCUCCAGAGUGAUACCAACUUCUAAGCACCUGCACCAAGACCUUCCUAGUCCUCAUCUGGGAGCUCAAACUAACUAGGCCCUGGUUUAUCUUUUACCUAUGUAUCACUUAAUUCAUAGUAAUUAUUGGUAUUACAUAUCAUGGGUCUGAAUACUGGCUAUGUUAGGAGCACCUAUAAUUAUUCAGGCAGUCAUGAAUCCCGUGGCCUGAAGACAACAUCUCAAGACUGCCUGAAGUUCUCCUGGGAUGACAAGCUGGGCACAUUUACACUACUAGAGUCACAGAAUACCAGGUAAUACCCCCAUCUUUUCUUACGGGAAAGCCACAGGCAUUAGGAAAGAUACCUCUCCCUAUGACGAUAAAUCAUGCAAAUAACUACACAUUUUCAGAUUUAUAUCUUUUAAAAGCUCUAAGAAACAAAAAAAACAAAAAGAAGCAUUGUCUAUAAGCCAUCAAUCAAAACCGAACAGCAUCAGGGAUGCUUCAUGGCUCCUCAGUGCCUCUUCCCAUAGUCAUUCUUCCAUUGCUCAAACCCCCUCACACCAGCCCAACUGUGAUGUCACAGGUGGGUCAGUGGAAACGUCAGGCAGAGUUGCUGUUCCAGCUGACAGGUGCUCGGAAGCCUUGCUUAAUGUUGAGCCAUGCUUAACAGCUGC